AUUGAACGCUGGCGGUAUGCUUAACACAUGCAAGUCGGACGGCAGCAUGGUGUGUAGCAAUACACACUGAUGGCGAGUGGCGGACGGGUGAGAAACGCGUAGGAAUCUGCCUUACAGAGGGGGACAACUAGAGGAAACUCUAGCUAAUACCGCAUAAAGUCUGCGGACCAAAGGCUGCCCCGGAGUAAAAUCCGGGGUGGCGCUGUAAGAGGAGCCUGCGUCCGAUUAGCUAGUUGGUAGGGUAAAGGCCUACCAAGGCGAUGAUCGGUAGCUGGUCUGAGAGGAUGAUCAGCCACACUGGGACUGAGACACGGCCCAGACUCCUAUGGGAGGCUG
This 336-nucleotide ribosomal RNA is filed under the name uncultured Pseudomonadota bacterium. RNAcentral describes it as "bacterial SSU rRNA". It matches the Rfam family "Bacterial small subunit ribosomal RNA", at positions 30 to 351 of the family's 1533-position model. The record is from RNAcentral. Lineage: Bacteria; Pseudomonadati; Pseudomonadota.